ACCUAAUUUGAUUUACAUCACCCCGACACACAAAUCCCAUCUUAUGAACAACCGUCUUUAGAUUUUGAGUACAUGUACUUUUGUUGCUUCAAACGAAAAAAAAUGGACAAAUGAUCUACCCUACGUUUAAGCUAGGAGUGGAUUCGCCAAUUAGAUAAAUGAAUUCAGAUCAGAUGUCACAAGUUGGCAUUGGGAACCUCAGCAAGAGGCAAUACUCAAGAUCUCUUUGGUUCAGUUUGAUGCAAGCGAGUAAAGUAUGUUAACUCUGCAGGUUGCAAGCUGAGUUUUCAAGAUUUUGUAUGUGAGUUGGAGAGUUUCAGGAGAUGCAUUUGGAAGGCAGGGUAUCCCUUUAUGUUCCACUGCUGUCUGAUAUUUAGUUUAGUUUAGUAUUUAGUCAUUUUAAAAUGACCUUUAAGAACUUUAUUGUUCACAAUUAGUUUACCAAACUGACAAAAAUGAAGGUUAAUGACUGAAAAGUAUAAAAUGAGUGGGGGCAUCAUUGUUACUGAUAGAUAUUUUUUAAAAAAUGCUUAUCAAUUUUAUUUAUUUCUUUUUUAGGGGUUUUCCAGAAAUCGUACCACCGUUGAAAGGUAGCAUUGUAAUGGAAAAGUGGGUUUACUUUUCAGUAUUUAUAAAGUGUUAAUGAGUCAGGUAAGUUAAUUAGAUUGGUGCAUAAUUAAGUAAGAGGUAGGGUCCGUCAGUAUCAGAAUUUUCAAUAUUCAGUAUAUCAAAUAUUUUCCAUAUAAAGACGGCGCUUGAUAUCAAGGAAACCCGAGUGGAUAACAGCUGUAAUAUUCACCAGUGGGGACUUGAUCCACAGUUAGUCCAAAAAUAUAAAUGUGGGUGUCGGUGUGACCGGAUUUUUCAUCCCCGCACAAACUGUAUGGAUGAUGAAAAAAUCAUCAACAUUUUCGGUAUCAUUCCCAUAAAUUAUACAAUUUUUAAAAAUUUCUAUUGGCUAUAUGGAUAUCAAAGUACCGGUAAUAUUAAAUAAUCAAGAACUAUUGAUGUAUUGACGGGCCCUAGUAUGAGGCGUUUGAGAUGAUAUUGGACUCAUAAAUGAUUGUCACAUAAAGGUGCUAAAUGUAAAAUCAUUUCAAACUAUUUGACAUUUAUUAAUUUAGUAGUAUUGUGAUAGAGAUGGGUAGAUGGGCGUGUCUUCCACUCUCAAAAAAAAAAGAAAAUUAGCAAAAAGGAGAGUUUAAGAUAAACACCUGGAACAGCUUUCGAAAACGCUUCAGUUCUGGAAAAUUUAAAAGAUUUUUUUUUUCACAACCCAUGUAGUAUGUAGUGCAUGUAGUAUGAAUAUAUUUGUCAGAAUUCAAAUGUAACAAAAGUUUGGUUGUGUACAAACAUUAAUAUAUCAGUCUUACAAAUCACUGCAAGUCAUGUGUUGUAACAAAGUAUUUAUUGUGUAUACUGUGCUAUGGGGUCGUAUGCUAAUCUUGUAAUUUGCAUAUAUUCAAUUUUAAUUUUGCCAGUUGUGCUUUAUUCCUGACCUUAACAUAUGUUGCAUAUGUUAUACUGUGUGUAUUAUCUUAUACUACAUACAUGUACAUACAUGCACUUGUAUGGCACCUGAGGUCUUCUAGUGUAUAGACUGUACAUAAAGUGUGACAAAAGCGUAAAGCCUGUAUUUAUGAAUUUAAAACAUGUAAACAAU
Molecule: long non-coding RNA, 1663 nt
Organism: Patiria miniata (bat star)
Lineage: Eukaryota; Metazoa; Echinodermata; Asteroidea; Valvatida; Asterinidae
Exons: 2
Source: RefSeq, a predicted model, not a curated record